RNAcentral lists this signal recognition particle RNA (99 nucleotides) under bacterium. RNAcentral's name for it is "signal recognition particle sRNA small type". It matches the Rfam family "Bacterial small signal recognition particle RNA". Rfam says of the family: The signal recognition particle (SRP) is a universally conserved ribonucleoprotein involved in the co-translational targeting of proteins to membranes. Archaeal SRP consists of a 7S RNA and homologues of the eukaryotic SRP19 and SRP54 proteins. The record is from RNAcentral.
GGCCAGGCCCUGCGCAGUGGCAGCUUGCCAAACCGGUCAGGACCGGGAGGUAGCAGCCGUACGCGAUCACUGCCAUGUGCCGCAGAUCGCCUGGCCCUG